This is a non-coding RNA of Treponema berlinense, 85 nucleotides long. The record is from Rfam. NCBI's taxonomy places the organism in Bacteria, Pseudomonadati, Spirochaetota, Spirochaetia, Treponematales, Treponemataceae.
GGAGCGAUGGCCGAGCGGUCGAAGGCGGCGGUCUUGAAAACCGUUAUACAGCAAUGUAUCGGGGGUUCGAAUCCCUCUCGCUCCG